This 49-nucleotide transfer RNA is filed under the name Escherichia coli 2-427-07_S1_C1. RNAcentral's name for it is "partial tRNA-Val". It matches the Rfam family "tRNA", at positions 1 to 47 of the family's 71-position model. From Rfam's summary of the family: Transfer RNA (tRNA) molecules are approximately 80 nucleotides in length. Their secondary structure includes four short double-helical elements and three loops (D, anti-codon, and T loops). Lineage: Bacteria; Pseudomonadati; Pseudomonadota; Gammaproteobacteria; Enterobacterales; Enterobacteriaceae. The record is from RNAcentral. RNAcentral also lists the same sequence under 9 other names.
GGGUGAUUAGCUCAGCUGGGAGAGCACCUCCCUUACAAGGAGGGGGUCG